This 28-nucleotide small RNA is filed under the name Bombyx mori (domestic silkworm). RNAcentral's name for it is "ovarian small RNA-36626". Lineage: Eukaryota; Metazoa; Arthropoda; Insecta; Lepidoptera; Bombycidae. The record is from RNAcentral.
UUACUAUUAGGGCUUUUGCAGCCGCAUC